This 664-nucleotide ribosomal RNA is filed under the name uncultured delta proteobacterium. RNAcentral describes it as "bacterial SSU rRNA". It matches the Rfam family "Bacterial small subunit ribosomal RNA", at positions 1 to 650 of the family's 1533-position model. The record is from RNAcentral. Lineage: Bacteria; Deltaproteobacteria.
UUGAGUUUGAUUCUGGCUCAGAUUGAACGCUGGUGGCGUGCUUAACACAUGCAAGUCGUGCGAGAACAGUUCCUUCGGGGACCUAGUAGAGCGGCGCACGGGUGAGUAACGCGUGGAUAAUCUACCCAGAAGACUGGGAUAACAGUUGGAAACGACUGCUAAUACCGGAUACGUUUCAUAUUUAACUUUAUGAGAGAAAGGUGGCCUCUGUUUCAAGCUAUCACUUUUGGAUGAGUCCGCGUUUCAUUAGCUAGUUGGUAAGGUAACGGCUUACCAAGGCGACGAUGAAUAGCUGGUCUGAGAGGAUGACCAGCCACACUGGGACUGGAACACGGCCCAGACUCCUACGGGAGGCAGCAGUGGGGAAUAUUGCGCAAUGGGGGAAACCCUGACGCAGCGACGCCAUGUGAGGGACGAAGGCUUUCGGGUCGUAAACCUCUGUCAGGAGGGAAGAAACUGUUUGAUGCUAAUACCAUCUUUCACUGACGGUACCUCCAGAGGAAGCACCGGCUAACUCCGUGCCAGCAGCCGCGGUAAUACGGAGGGUGCGAGCGUUAAUCGGAAUCACUGGGCGUAAAGCGCGCGUAGGCGGCGCGAUAAGUCAGNCGUGAAAGCCCUCGGCUCAACCGGGGAAUUGCGCUUGAUACUGUCGUGCUUGAGUCUC